GAAUCCCGUGAACCAUCGAGUCUUUGAACGCAAGUUGCGCCCGAAGCCCUCGGGCCGAGGGCACGCCUGCCUGGGCGUCACGCAUCGCGUCGCCCCCCCCAGCCCGCCCGCUCCGGGCGGCGCGCGUGGGGGGUGCGGAGACUGGCCUCCCGUGCGCAACCGUCGCGCGGCCGGCCC
This 177-nucleotide ribosomal RNA is filed under the name Carlowrightia mexicana. RNAcentral describes it as "5.8S ribosomal RNA". The stretch from base 1 to 80 matches the Rfam family "5.8S ribosomal RNA", at positions 77 to 154 of the family's 154-position model. The record is from RNAcentral. Lineage: Eukaryota; Viridiplantae; Streptophyta; Magnoliopsida; Lamiales; Acanthaceae.